GCCAGGCAUGGUGGCGCAUGCCUGUAAUCCCAGCUACUCAGGAGGCUGAGGCAGGAGAAUCGCUUGAACCCGGGAGGUGCAGGGUGUAGUGGGCCGAGAUCACGCCACUACACUCCAGCCUGGGCAACAAGAGUGAAACUCUGUCUCAA
This 149-nucleotide non-coding RNA is filed under the name Homo sapiens (human). The record is from Rfam by way of RNAcentral. Lineage: Eukaryota; Metazoa; Chordata; Mammalia; Primates; Hominidae.